Molecule: unclassified non-coding RNA, 275 nt
Filed under: uncultured fungus
Lineage: Eukaryota; Fungi
Description: partial contains 18S rRNA, ITS1, 5.8S rRNA, ITS2 and 28S rRNA
Source: RNAcentral
AAGGAUCAUUAUCGAAUAAAAUUGAACAGGCUGUUGCUGGUCCCACCCCUCGGGUUAGGGCAUGUGCACGCUUGUCAUCUUUAUCAUUUCUCCAACUGUGCACCUCUUGUAGACCCUGGGGCAUGUUUGAAUGUUCUGUUUCGAGUUGGGACUGCCAUUCGGCUUUGCCCUUGCAUCUCCAGGUCUAUGUUUUCACAAACAAACUUGUUUAGAAUGUGUUGGCAAUAAUAAUAAUAAAAGUUAUACAACUUUCAGCAACGGAUCUCUUGGCUCUC